Etheostoma spectabile (orangethroat darter) is the source of this 221-nucleotide long non-coding RNA. RefSeq lists it as uncharacterized. The transcript has 3 exons. Lineage: Eukaryota; Metazoa; Chordata; Actinopteri; Perciformes; Percidae. The record is from RefSeq and is a predicted model, not a curated record.
UACUGAAGCUGAUUCAGGUUAACUGUUACUGAAGCUGAUUCAGGUUAACUGCUACUGAAGCUGAUUCAGGUUAACUGUUACUGAAGCUGAUUCAGGUUAACUGUUACUGAAGCUGAUUCAGGUUAACUGUUACUGAAGCUGAUUCAGGUUAACUGCUACUGAAGCUGAUUCAGGUUAACUGUUACUGAAGCUGAUUCAGGUUAACUGCUACUGAAGCUGAU